UCUUUCAAGUUUAUCAAUUUCAUUUUCCUUUCUCUUUCUCUCUCUUCCAUUUCAUUUUCUCUCUUACCUAAUUUUUGAUAUUUCUUCUCAAAUUUAUUUUCCUAAUUUCCUUCUCCUCCCAUCACCACCGCCACUGCCAACGAUUCAGAUCUGGAAAAGGUUCUGAAAUAACAAAAAACUGAGUUAUUUGAGCAGUUUUUCUCUCAGAUCUGAGUUUGUUUGUUGCAGAAGAUUACAAGAUUCUGGGAUGAAAUGUUGUAACUUGUAAGAAUGAGUAUUAGAGUUUUGAUUUUGAAAUUUUAUUUUUACAUUUUGAUCAACCAGGUAAAUAGUGAAAGAAAUCUGUAUAGGAAAUUUUUAAUCUAACAGGGAAAAUGAUAUCAUUAAUGUUGUUUGAAUAAUAUUAAUUUUUUGUAAUUACUAUUAAAAUCUGUAUAAACUCUAUUUUCUACUGUGCUAUUAAGUUUUUUCAUCUAAUUGCUACAGGUGCUAUUGAGGUGUUGAAGACAAAUGAGUUUUAAAUGUUUGCAGACAGGGGCGGAUCUAUGUUGUGGGAUUUGGAGGCUCUUGCCCCCACAAGAAUAAUAACCAUAAAUAUUAAAUCAUGUAUAUUAAUUCAAUGUUUAAUUAUUAUUUUUAUCGAUUCAAAAUAAAAACUUACGGUUACUAAUUAAAAAACACAAUCUACUACUUAUUUGUUUUAAUUAUACUUUAUCACAUUCUUCUAUAGUCUUAUGGCCAUUUUAAAAAAAAGAAAGUAUUUUAACAUAACUUUUAAA
This is a long non-coding RNA of Vicia villosa (hairy vetch), 779 nucleotides long. RefSeq lists it as uncharacterized. The transcript has 3 exons. The record is from RefSeq and is a predicted model, not a curated record. NCBI's taxonomy places the organism in Eukaryota, Viridiplantae, Streptophyta, Magnoliopsida, Fabales, Fabaceae.